GCAUCUGACUCGACUCUGUAGAAUAACUCUACACUUAUUCUUCAAACCUCAACAAUAGCUACUCCACUUUAUCUGCACAUUGCUCAUCAUAGAUGAACAUAAACACAUGCAGAAGGGUGAGAAUUACAUUAUUAAAUAAUAAUAUAACGACAGAAAUAUAAACAUAAUUAUAUAAUUCACAUAUGCCAACACAGCUCAUCAUCAUCAUCAUAAUCAACAAACUCAUGAACAUCAAC
RNAcentral lists this long non-coding RNA (236 nucleotides) under Lathyrus oleraceus (garden pea). Its description in RNAcentral is "Pisum sativum (pea) long non-coding RNA (PSAT_LNC023054)". Lineage: Eukaryota; Viridiplantae; Streptophyta; Magnoliopsida; Fabales; Fabaceae. The record is from RNAcentral.